Unclassified non-coding RNA from Callithrix jacchus (white-tufted-ear marmoset), 299 nucleotides. It matches the Rfam family "Metazoan signal recognition particle RNA". Rfam says of the family: The signal recognition particle (SRP) is a universally conserved ribonucleoprotein. The record is from Ensembl. NCBI's taxonomy places the organism in Eukaryota, Metazoa, Chordata, Mammalia, Primates, Cebidae.
GCCAGGCACAGUUGCAUGCACCUGUUGUCCCAGGUCUUCUGGAGGCUAAGGCAGAAGAAUCACUUGAGCCCUGGAGUUCAGGGCUGUCAUGCACUACAUUGAUCUGGUGUUUAGGCUAAGUUCGGCAUCAAUAUGGUGACUUCCUGGGAGUGGGGACCACCAGGUUGCCUAAGGAGGGGUGACCGAAAGUUGGAAACAGAGCCGGUCAAAACUCCUGUGCAAUUCCAGUAGUGGAAUUGCACCCUUCUGAAUAGCCACUGCCCCUCCAGCGUGGGCAACAUAGCAAGACCCUGCCUCUU